AGAAAUAGCAAUACCACCUUGUGAAUGCCUGAUCUCUUCAGAUCUCAGAAUGUAAGCUGGGUUGGGCCUGGUUAUUAUUG
RNAcentral lists this ribosomal RNA (80 nucleotides) under Periophthalmus magnuspinnatus. Lineage: Eukaryota; Metazoa; Chordata; Actinopteri; Gobiiformes; Gobiidae. The record is from RNAcentral.